AGUGACUGCGGAGGAUCAUUAUCGAAUAAGCUUGGUUGGGUUGUUGCUGGCUCUUUUAGAGUAUGUGCACGCCUGACAACCAACUUUAUUACCACCUGUGCACCCUUUGUAGAUCUGGAAUACCUCUCCAGGGAGGACUGCCGUGCGCAAGGCAGCUUGCAUUUCAGAUCUAUGUUUUUAUACACACCAAGUAUGUUACAGAAUGUUUAUUUAAACGAGGCUUAAUUGCCUUUGAAACUUUAUACAACUUUCAACAACGGAUCUCUUGGCUCUCGCAUCGAUGAAGAACGCAGCGAAAUGCGAUAAGUAAUGUGAAUUGCAGAAUUCAGUGAAUCAUCGAAUCUUUGAACGCACCUUGCGCUCCUUGGUAUUCCGAGGAGCAUGCCUGUUUGAGUGUCAUGAAAUUCUCAACCUUUUCAAUUUUUCUUUUCAA
This 433-nucleotide unclassified non-coding RNA is filed under the name uncultured fungus. Its description in RNAcentral is "sequence contains ITS1, 5.8S rRNA gene, ITS2". The stretch from base 246 to 399 matches the Rfam family "5.8S ribosomal RNA". Lineage: Eukaryota; Fungi. The record is from RNAcentral.